UACGUAGGGACCAGGCGUUGUCCGGAAUCAUUGGGCGUAAAGAGCGUGUAGGCGGCUUGUUAAGUCUUGCGUGAAAUCUCGGGGCUCAACCCCGAGCGGUCGUGAGAAACUGGCAGGCUAGAGUGCGGGAGAGGAGAGUGGAAUUCCUGGUGUAGCGGUGAAAUGCGCAGAUAUCAGGAGGAACACCGAUGGCGAAGGCAGCUCGCUGGGACGGUACUGACGCUGAGGCGCGAAAGCGUGGGGAGCAAACAGG
Molecule: ribosomal RNA, 253 nt
Filed under: uncultured bacterium
Lineage: Bacteria
Description: partial 16S ribosomal RNA
Rfam family: Bacterial small subunit ribosomal RNA
Source: RNAcentral